Molecule: RNA transcript, 4746 nt
Organism: Scleropages formosus (Asian bonytongue)
Lineage: Eukaryota; Metazoa; Chordata; Actinopteri; Osteoglossiformes; Osteoglossidae
Gene: atp11c
Gene name: ATPase phospholipid transporting 11C (ATP11C blood group)
Exons: 30
Source: RefSeq, a predicted model, not a curated record
GAGGGGGCAGAGUCGGGUGGUUUUGACAGGCAGCGCAGGGGUGUUGGGAGGUGUACGCGUUGUGAACUGGGGUCCGCGGUUAAGCGCACUUUGCACUAGCCAGUCAUUAAUGCUGUGUGGGGGGUUGCGCGUUUACGGGGCGCCCUGACAGCGGAGUGGACACGCGGGAGACAGGGCUGAGAUCAUGCCCCGAGCGGUUGUACAACCGUGUGGCGGGAGGGAAGGCUAGCCGAGCAGCGCACCGGAACUCGACGGUAUUCGGUACUUGGUGCUCGGUACUCAGCCAGCCAGCGCGCGGAAAUGUGAGGCGGAGGCGGGCUGCGCGCGGACAUCGGCACAGCGGUGUAGCGGCGCUUCAGGCGGGAACGGAGCUGAGGAGGGAAAAGCAGGAAUCUUCUCGAGCCUAGUUUAGUUUAUGCACCAACAGUGCCGUUAUGAACUGAUGCAAAAGUUACGCGGCGGGGUGGCGGGGGUGUAACGCAACGUUGAACGGGUCAGAAAGAAGCAGCUGCGGCUGGACAGUCAGCGUGUGUGUGUCACUGUGUGUGUGUCUCUUCACGCCAAAGAAGACGGAGGAGAGGAAAGAGGACGGGGCGACAUGCUGCGGAGGGGACUUAACCGCCUGUUUGGGGGAGACGAGAGACGUGUUGAUAGUAGGACAGUCUACGUGGGACACCAGCCCUGCCCCUCCACGCAGGCCUUUGUCCCGCCUAAAUUCUGUGACAACAGGAUCGUGUCAUCCAAGUACACAGUGUGGAACUUCCUACCAAAGAACCUGUUUGAACAGUUCAGGAGAAUCGCCAACUUCUACUUCUUGAUCAUAUUCCUGGUCCAGGUGAUUGUGGACACUCCCACCAGCCCUGUGACCAGCGGUCUGCCCUUGUUUUUUGUCAUCACUGUGACAGCCAUCAAACAGGGCUAUGAGGACUGGCUGCGACAUAAAGCAGACAAUGAGGUGAACAACUACCCAGUCAAUGUGCUGGAGAAUGGCCGGCGAACCCAGAAGGAGAGCAAGAAGAUAAAGGUGGGUGACAUCGUGGAGGUUCUGGAGGAUGAGACGUUCCCCUGUGACCUGAUCCUGUUGGGGUCCAGCCGGGACGACGACACCUGCUUUGUCACCACGGCCAGUCUAGACGGGGAGUCCAACCACAAGACACACUACACAGUGCCUGACUUGGAGAGUGACCUGGAAGUGCUUAACGCUACAAUCGAAUGUGAGCAGCCUCAACCUGACCUCUACAAGUUUGUUGGUAGGAUGCACAUCCACAAGGAUGGCCAGGAGCCAGCCGUGCGGUCUCUGGGCCCCGAGAACCUUCUGCUGAAAGGAGCUACCCUAAAGAACACCAGGGUGGUUUAUGGAGUGGCAGUCUACACAGGCAUGGAGACCAAGAUGGCCCUCAAUUACCAGGGCAAGUCUCAGAAACGCUCUGUUGUGGAGAAGUCCAUCAAUGGGUUCCUUCUGGUGUAUCUGUGCAUCCUGCUGAGCAAAGCGCUCGUGUGCACCACACUCAAGUACGUGUGGCAGAACCAGCGUGGACAAGAUGAGCCCUGGUACAACCAGAAGACACAGAAAGAGAAAGAAGCCAAUAUGUUCUUGAAGAUGUUUACGGACUUCCUUUCCUUCAUGGUUCUCUUCAACUUCAUCAUCCCCGUGUCCAUGUAUGUUACUGUGGAAAUGCAGAAAUUCCUGGGCUCUUUCUUUAUCACCUGGGACCGGGAUUUCUAUGACCGGGAGAUCCAGGAGGGGGCACUGGUGAACACAUCUGACCUCAAUGAGGAGCUGGGUCAGGUGGAGUAUGUGUUCACUGACAAGACCGGCACCCUCACACAGAACAACAUGGAGUUCAUUGAAUGCAGCAUCGACGGCUUCCAGUACAAGUACCAGGACUCGCGCACAGAACUGGAUGGGUUUUGUGUGACGGAUGGUCCGGUCAGCAAGUUGCAGCAGAAAGCAGGAAGGGAGAAGGAGGAGUUGUUCCUCCGGGCUCUGUGUCUGUGUCACACUGUUCAGGUGAAAGAGGCAGGGCAGGGGGUUGGAUUUGCCGACCAGGUAGAUGGAGUGGACGUGGCCAGCGCAGUGGAACAGCGUGGAUUCAUUGCCUCCUCUCCAGAUGAGGUGGCAUUGGUCAAAGGAGCCAUGAAGUACGGGUUCACUUUCCUGGGCUUGGAAAGCAAAAGCAUGAAAAUAUUGAACAGGAAUAAUAAGAUUGAGAAGUAUGAGCUGCUACAUGUGUUAAACUUUGACCCAGUGCGAAGACGCAUGAGUGUGAUCGUCAGAUCUCCAGAUGGGGAGACACUGCUGUUUUGCAAAGGAGCUGACUCCUCCAUCUUCCCACGUGUCAGGCAAGAGGAGGUGGAACGCAUACGCAUGCACGUGGAGCGCAACGCCACGGAGGGCUACCGAACACUCUGCGUGGCCUACAAGCGGCUCACCGAUGAGGUGUUUGCACGGGUGGAUGCAGAGCUGAGGGAGGCGCGGCUGGCUUUACAGGACAGGGAGGAGAGGCUCGUGGCAGUCUACAACCAAGUGGAGAAAGGGAUGAAUCUAAUUGGAGCCACAGCAGUGGAGGACAGACUGCAGGAGGAGGCAGCCGAGACCAUGGAGGCCCUGCAGAGUGCCGGCAUAAAGGUGUGGGUGCUGACAGGGGACAAGAUGGAGACUGCCAAGUCCACCUGCUAUGCCUGCCGGCUCUUUCAGCGCAGCACUGAGUUACUAGAGCUGACAGUGCGCACCCUGGAGGAAGGAGGCCGCAAGCGCGGGGAGCGCCUGCAUGAGCUGCUACUGGACUACCACAAGAGGGCAGUGCAGGAUGCACCACCUCCAAAAGGAGGGGUCACAAGGACCUGGUCUUCGGCUGCUCAGGAGUAUGGCUUCAUCAUCGACGGCACAACACUGUCUCUGCUGCUGAACGCCUCCUCAGAUGUAGUCUCCAGCAACUACAGGAGUCUUUUUCUCCAGAUCUGCCAAAACUGCACGGCUGUCCUGUGUUGCCGCAUGGCGCCGCUGCAGAAAGCCCAGAUAGUGAAGAUGGUGAAAAAUUCAAAAGGAAAUCCCAUCACCCUGUCAAUCGGGGAUGGGGCUAAUGAUGUCAGCAUGAUUCUGGAAGCACAUGUGGGCAUUGGUAUAAAGGGGAAGGAGGGCCGACAGGCGGUGCGGAACAGUGAUUACGCCAUUCCCAAACUAAAGCAUCUGAAAAAACUGCUCUUGGCACAUGGACACCUUUACUAUGUGCGCAUCGCCCACCUCGUUCAGUACUUCUUCUACAAGAACCUCUGCUUCAUCUUACCACAGUUCCUGUAUCAGUUCUUCUGCGGAUAUUCUCAGCAGCCACUGUACGACGCAGCCUAUCUGACGAUGUACAACAUCUGCUUCACCUCUAUGCCCAUCCUGGCCUAUAGCCUCCUGGAACAGCACAUCUGCAUUGAGAUCCUGCUUGAGAAUGCCACACUCUACAGGGAGGUGGCGAAGAACGCCAUGCUUCGGUGGGGUCCAUUCCUCUGCUGGACGCUCUUGGGAAUCUUCCAGGGUCUGCUCUUUUUUUUUGGGGUCCAUUGCCUGUUUGGGAACUCUGCACUGCAGGACAAUGGCCAGGUGUUUGGGAACUGGUCCUUUGGGACAAUUGUUUUCACAAUCCUGGUCUUCACGGUCACCCUCAAGCUCGCUCUGGACACAAGACACUGGACAUGGAUCAACCACUUUGUCAUCUGGGGCUCACUGGCCUUCUAUGUGUUUUUUAGCUUUUUCUGGGGUGGGAUCAUCUGGCCCUUCCUCAAGCAGCAGCGACUCUACUUCGUCUUUGCCAACAUGCUGAGCUCCGUGUCAGCCUGGCUAGUCAUCAUCCUGCUCAUCCUGCUGAGUCUGCUCCCCGACAUCCUGUGGGCAGUGCUGCGCAAACCCCGUGGUCCUCACGCACAACAGAUGAAGAGACGCCUUCCUUCUUCUGGAACGUCCACUAUCUUCAUGCUGUCCCAGACCCCCAGCACUCACAGCUUCUCCUGGAGUGACUGAGGUCUUUUCCCUGCUCUUCUCUCCUCUCUCCUGGUGGUGUGGCCAUUGCUGGUUUCUCAACUCUCUGCCUUUCCCCUCACUCCUCUUGGCUGUCAGCCCUGACCCCCAUCUCAGAGGUGACACCAGGCAGCUGAUCUGAAAACUAUUGUGUGGCACCAAAUGAUACAUCGCUAUAUUCUCUUUAUCCGACAACCACUUAUCAUUGAGAUUGCCAUGGUAUUGCCUGUGUCGUACAAGUACCUGAAGGACCAGGAUUACAUCAAUGUGCUGAGUGACUGACAGGACCUUCUGUUUGCUGUAGCUCCUGAAUGUCCACACAUUUGCCAAAAUAAUCAUGUCCAAACAAAGAAGAGUGAAGAAGAAAAGGGUAACCAUUGUACUGUAACCAAUGUUCAGCAUCUACCCCCACCCCGAUGCAGCAGCACUGUUUCUGAAGAUCAACUAUGCGCUUUCACUGUGUUCAGUUCUUUUUGGCUUUUUCCUUGAAAAGAGUAGAACUUUCCAACUCUCCGGACUGUUGCCAUCCAGUGCUGUAUCCAGCAAAGCUCUCUUGAGCGGCUGUUCCCCAUCCGUCCCAUAAUGCAGUGCAGUAGUUGCAUGCACAUAAGCUUAUUGGAUUACAUUUCACUGUUCAGUGUUUAUUUUACUACAGCUCGCUCUUUCUAUUUUAAGAUAAGGGCCGUGGGGUCUUUUUUUUUUUUUUUUUAAAAAAAAAAAAAAAAUGCUGUGGCUGUUCA